This 253-nucleotide ribosomal RNA is filed under the name uncultured bacterium. RNAcentral describes it as "partial 16S ribosomal RNA". It matches the Rfam family "Bacterial small subunit ribosomal RNA", at positions 524 to 776 of the family's 1533-position model. The record is from RNAcentral.
UACGAGAGGCCCAAACGUUAUUCGGAUUUACUGGGCUUAAAGAGUUCGUAGGCGGCGCGGAAAGUGGGGUGUGAAAGCCCUCGGCUCAACCGAGGAAUUGCGCUCCAAACUGCCGUGCUAGAGGAACCUAGAGGUGAGCAGAACAGAUGGUGGAGCGGUGAAAUGCGUUGAUAUCAUCUGGAAUACCGGAGGCGAAGGCGGCUCACUGGGGGUUUUCUGACGCUGAGGGACGAAAGCCAGGGUAGCGAACGGG